RNAcentral lists this transfer RNA (87 nucleotides) under Phaeoacremonium minimum UCRPA7. It matches the Rfam family "tRNA". Rfam says of the family: Transfer RNA (tRNA) molecules are approximately 80 nucleotides in length. Their secondary structure includes four short double-helical elements and three loops (D, anti-codon, and T loops). Further hydrogen bonds mediate the characteristic L-shaped molecular structure. tRNAs have two regions of fundamental functional importance: the anti-codon, which is responsible for specific mRNA codon recognition, and the 3' end, to which the tRNAs corresponding amino acid is attached (by aminoacyl-tRNA synthetases). tRNAs cope with the degeneracy of the genetic code in two manners: having more than one tRNA (with a specific anti-codon) for a particular amino acid; and 'wobble' base-pairing, i.e. permitting non-standard base-pairing at the 3rd anti-codon position. The record is from Rfam by way of RNAcentral. Lineage: Eukaryota; Fungi; Ascomycota; Sordariomycetes; Togniniales; Togniniaceae.
CCCCUUGUGGUGUAGAUGGCUAUCACAGUGGACUGUAAGCGACGCAUUGUAAUCCAUUGGUCCGCGGUUCGAGUCCGCGCGAGGGGA